UAGGAUGACGAGAAAACUAAAAGAGAUGCCAGUGAAAGAACAAAAUACAGCUGAACAAAAAGAAAAGAGGACAAAGGAAAGUGCACUGAGAGGCAAAGCCGAACCUACGCAGAAGGAAACAACAAUGAAGAGAGGAAAAGAAAAUGCCUGUGGAUUCAGAGAACAUCUUAAAGUGCACCAGAUGAACAGCCUUGACAAAUAUCGACCGGACUACUGACCUGCAGAAAAUCAUUUUAUGUGAGAGAUAUUCAAAGAUGAGAAUGUUCUUCGCAUCACUUUCAGUCAAUGAUUCAGAAUGAGACUGGAAUACAAAACACCAAUAUUUUUGAGUUCAUAACUUGAUGACUAUAACUGUACUGUGUACAUAUUUAAACAUAUUAAGAUUUAAUAUUGUGUACACAGGAUUAUAUAUGUGUCAUAUGAUAGCAAUACGAUCAAUUAGUGCUAAAGUAGUAACACUGAAAUCAAAAGUUUGAACUGUUUUGCACUAUUUGAACUGUAGCUGUACAUAGUUCUCAUUUCUAGUAUAAAGAGCAUUGAGAACAAUGACUGUAAAGCAGUAGUUGUUCCAGAAAUGCCAGGUCACUCUUUUCCAUGUGAUCAUACAGUGAGACUGGAGAUUUCCUAAAGCUUCAUGGUUUGGUUUGUAGACAAACUGUCUAGAUUUUAACUCCUGUGACUUCAGGCACUUUAUUCUGGCAUGCAGAAGAUGAUUAUUCUUCUUUAAACGUGUCAUUACUUUACUUGUAUUUUCUGUUAAGGAGGUGUUUUUAUCUGAAGCAUCUAGUACCUGGUGUCGAGUGUCGAGUUCAGGUGCACAUUGAUCUCUGUUUAUGAAUUGCAUGAAGCAAACGAUCACAGGGGAUUGAGUUUCUGUAUUAUUUUGAGUCUGUUCACUUUGUGAAAGAUUAUGAAAGUGUCCAAGUGUACAUUACACUGUCCUUAUUCCUGAACAGGUGUUUGUUUUCAGUCAUUAUGAUGACUAUCCAAAUCUGUCCAAGUGUCUGUUGCUUUGCAUUCCACAAUAAAUAUUUCACUUCAGCCA
Long non-coding RNA from Cyprinus carpio (common carp), 1045 nucleotides. The record is from Ensembl. Lineage: Eukaryota; Metazoa; Chordata; Actinopteri; Cypriniformes; Cyprinidae.